GGAGAGGUGCCAGAGUGGUUGAAUGGGACGGUCUCGAAAACCGUUUUAGGGCUUGCUCUAACGAGAGUUCGAAUCUCUCCCUCUCCG
RNAcentral lists this transfer RNA (87 nucleotides) under Bacteroidota bacterium. RNAcentral's name for it is "tRNA-Ser". It matches the Rfam family "tRNA". Rfam says of the family: Transfer RNA (tRNA) molecules are approximately 80 nucleotides in length. Lineage: Bacteria; Pseudomonadati; Bacteroidota. The record is from RNAcentral.